Molecule: small nucleolar RNA, 131 nt
Filed under: Neotoma lepida (desert woodrat)
Lineage: Eukaryota; Metazoa; Chordata; Mammalia; Rodentia; Cricetidae
Source: RNAcentral
UUGGCCCUUAAUCAUGGCCAGCAGUUUGCUAAAGCUAUUUCAAGUUGAGGCCUAAAGAAUGUCUUUCUGUGUCCCCUGGUCAUUGCAGAGAUUUGGAAAUGUAAUGCUCGAUUCUUUAGAAAGAAAUCUCU